GGACCGAUAAGGUAGAAAUGCCUUAUCGGUCC
This 32-nucleotide unclassified non-coding RNA is filed under the name Yersinia enterocolitica. Its description in RNAcentral is "RNA (32-MER) from Yersinia enterocolitica (PDB 2LI4, chain A)". Lineage: Bacteria; Pseudomonadati; Pseudomonadota; Gammaproteobacteria; Enterobacterales; Yersiniaceae. The record is from RNAcentral.